GUAGUAAUUUUCAAGAGAACUAUUUUUAAAACCUGCAAAGUAUCUGAGAAUACCUAUCUUUAUAGUGAGGAGAAACAAAAUGCCUAAUAUCCUAAACCACUGGCCCACUCAGAUGCAUGCUGGUGCACGUCAUUCUAUCCUCCAUAUCUUCCAACUUUUCUUCCAGAACUCAUUUUCUCAUUAGCUACGUCCAGUCUACUCUUGAGAUCUAUUGAGCUUUAUAUUUUAAGAUGCUUUUGUUCAUUUCUUAAAUUUAGCUAUUUUAAAAAUUAGUCUUCUGGGUUUUCUUCCCCCAUAAUGUUCUGCUCUUGUUACACAGCGGCAUUCCAGAUUUUUCUGCAGUCCAGAAUAGAGCACCAUCACCAUAGCAUUUCAAGCUCAUUCUAAGUUCAUCUUAUCAAUGACAAGAGGAGACACGUUGUUCAUUCAUGUAUGAGGUAGUACUUUCCAAUUGAAGACAUUGCUUUGAAAGAGACUGCCAAAUUGGUUUCAUUGAGAAGGAAUGAAAGAAGCUAAAAGGCUUUCACCUGAGAUUUGACAAUAGCCAGAAAACCUCUGUUAAUAAUGAAUGUUUCCCUAUCUGCAAAGUGAAGAUAGGUUUCAAUGCUUCAACGCAUAGGAAGUCUGUAGAACAGUGCAAAGAAUAUACAGGCAUACCUUGAAGAUAUUACAGUUUUGGUUCCAGACCAUCAUAAAAAGGUGGAUAUUGCAAUAAGGCUGGAGUGCAGUGGUGUGAUCUCGGCUGACUGCAAC
This 753-nucleotide long non-coding RNA is filed under the name Homo sapiens (human). RNAcentral describes it as "HSALNT0327444". The record is from RNAcentral. Lineage: Eukaryota; Metazoa; Chordata; Mammalia; Primates; Hominidae.